UUAAGUUCAGCGGGUAGUCUCACCCGAUUUGAGGUCAAGGGGUCGAGGGAGCUUCCCGAGAAGGGAGGCACAUGCUCGAACAUUGUCUCAACGCAAGGUCCAGACGGUUAGAAGCAGGUCCCAAAAGGUGACAGAGCCAUAAACCAAGACAUGGAAACAUCUUAUCACACGUCGAGGAUCGGCAAAGAGGACCCUGCUAA
This 200-nucleotide unclassified non-coding RNA is filed under the name Lactarius sp. (in: basidiomycete fungi). Its description in RNAcentral is "Lactarius sp. (in: Russulaceae) partial internal transcribed spacer 2". The record is from RNAcentral. Lineage: Eukaryota; Fungi; Basidiomycota; Agaricomycetes; Russulales; Russulaceae.